Malaya genurostris is the source of this 76-nucleotide small nucleolar RNA. RefSeq annotates it as small nucleolar RNA U3. The record is from RefSeq and is a predicted model, not a curated record. The transcript has a single exon. Lineage: Eukaryota; Metazoa; Arthropoda; Insecta; Diptera; Culicidae.
AAGACUGUGCUUCACAGGAUCAUUUCUGUAGGCUAGUUUUCACAACAAGUUUUUUCCGAAAGGGGAAACGAAGAGU